RNAcentral lists this ribosomal RNA (1441 nucleotides) under uncultured anaerobic ammonium-oxidizing bacterium. RNAcentral describes it as "bacterial SSU rRNA". It matches the Rfam family "Bacterial small subunit ribosomal RNA". The record is from RNAcentral.
GACGAACGCUGGCGGCGUGCCUUAGACAUGCAAGUCGAACGGAGUAGCAAUACUCAGUGGCGAACGGCGGAGUAAUGCAUAAGCAACGUGCCCCAAAGACUGGGAUAGUCGAGGGAAACCACGGGUAAUACCAGAUGUGGUCCUUAGAUGGCAUCAUCGAGGGAUUAAAUCGAGCAAUCGGCUUUGGGAGCGGCUUAUGUCCUAUCAGCUUGUUGGUGAGGUAACGGCUCACCAAGGCUACGACGGGUAGGGGGUCUGAGAGGAUGAUCCCCCCGAGUGGGACUGCGACACGGCCCACACACCUACGGGUGGCAGCAGUUUGGAAUAUUGCACAAUGGGGGAAACCCUGAUGCAGCGACGCCGCGUGGAGGACGAAGGAUCUAGGUCUGUAAACUCCUUUUGCCAGGAAAGACUUAGGACGGUACCUGGCGAAUAAGCCCCGGCUAACUACGUGCCAGCAGCCGCGGUAAGACGUAGGGGGCGAGCGUUGUCCGGAUUUACUGGGCGUAAAGAGCGCGUAGGCGGCUAGUUAAGUGAGAAGUGAAAUCUCCAGGGCUCAACCCGGAAACUGCUUUUCAUACUGGACCAGCUGGAGGACGCAGGGGGUGACUGGAAAUUCCCGGUGUAAGCGGUGAAAAGCAUUGAUAUCGGGGAGGAACUUCAACAGCGAAGGCAGGUCACUGGGCGUUUCCUGACGGUGAGGCGCGAAAGCGUGGGUAGCAAACAGGAUUAGAUACCCUGGUAGUCCACGCCCUAAAACGAUGGAUACUAGACGUAAGAGGUAUCGACCCCUCUUGUGUCGCAGCUAACGCAUUAAGUAUCCCGCCUGGGGAGUACGGCCGCAAGGUUGAAACUCAAAAUGAAUUGACGGGGACCCGCACAAGCGGUGGAGCAUGUGGAUUAAUUCGAUACUAACCGAAGAACCUUACCCAGGUUUGACAUCGAUGGUAAGCCCGAGAGAUCGGGCCCUCUCUCACAAGGAGACCUGAAGACAGAUGUUGCAUGGCUGUCGUCAGCUCGUGCCGUGAGGUGUACGGUUAAGUCCGCCAACGAGCGCAACCCUCGUCCUAUGUUGCCAGCGAGUAAUGUCGGGAACUCAUAGGAGACCGCCGGUGUAAGCCGGAGGAAGGUGGGGAUGAUGUCAAGUCAGCAUGGCUCUUACGCCUGGGGCUUCACACAUGCUACAAUGGGCGCAACAAAGGGCACCGAAGCCGUGAGGUGGAGGCAAUCCCAAAAAUACGCCCCCAGUUCAGAUUGCAGUCUGCAACUCGACUGCAUGAAGGCGGAAUCGCUAGUAAACGCAGGUCAGCUAUACUGCGUUGAAUACGUUCCCGGGUCUUGUACACACCGCCCGUCAAGUCACCUGAAUUGUCUUCACCCGAAGUCCGUGGCCUAACCGUAAGGAGGGAGCGGCCGAAGGUGAGGGGAGUAAGGGGGACUA